GACGAACGCUGGCGGCGGGCCUAACACAUGCAAGUCGAACGGAAAGACGGUGCUUGCUUGUGGAUCUCGAGUGGGGCGGGUGUGUGAUACCCAGGAGUCUGCCGGGCAGUGCUUUGUGAUGUCUUGAAACAGGUGGUGAUAAUACCUGAGUGGUGAUGCAGCUGCUUGGGGGUGUUUGGAAAGUAUCGGCGGAGGGGGGUGGACGCGGGGCUUAUCAGCUUGUUGGUGGGGUGGUGGCCGAGCAAGGCUUCGACGGGUAGCCGGCCUGGGAGGGUGACCGGCCACAUUGGGCCUGAGAGACGGCCCAGACUCCUACGGGAGGCAGCAGUGGGGAAUAUUGCCCAAUGGGCCGAAGCCUGAUGCAGCAACGCCGCGUGCGGGAUGACGGCCUUCGGGUUGUAAACCGCUUUCGCCUGUGACGAAGCGUGAGUGACGGUAAUGGGUAAAGAAGCACCGGCUAACUACGUG
Molecule: ribosomal RNA, 468 nt
Filed under: uncultured bacterium
Lineage: Bacteria
Description: partial 16S ribosomal RNA
Rfam family: Bacterial small subunit ribosomal RNA
Source: RNAcentral